RNAcentral lists this ribosomal RNA (543 nucleotides) under Salmonella enterica. Its description in RNAcentral is "partial 23S ribosomal RNA". It matches the Rfam family "Bacterial large subunit ribosomal RNA", at positions 689 to 1230 of the family's 2925-position model. Lineage: Bacteria; Pseudomonadati; Pseudomonadota; Gammaproteobacteria; Enterobacterales; Enterobacteriaceae. RNAcentral also lists the same sequence under 1 other name. The record is from RNAcentral.
UGGGCGUUAAGUUGCAGGGUAUAGACCCGAAACCCGGUGAUCUAGCCAUGGGCAGGUUGAAGGUUGGGUAACACUAACUGGAGGACCGAACCGACUAAUGUUGAAAAAUUAGCGGAUGACCUGUGGCUGGGGGUGAAAGGCCAAUCAAACCGGGAGAUAGCUGGUUCUCCCCGAAAGCUAUUUAGGUAGCGCCUCGUGAAUUCAUCUCCGGGGGUAGAGCACUGUUUCGGCUAGGGGGCCAUCCCGGCUUACCAACCCGAUGCAAACUGCGAAUACCGGAGAAUGUUAUCACGGGAGACACACGGCGGGUGCUAACGUCCGUCGUGAAGAGGGAAACAACCCAGACCGCCAGCUAAGGUCCCAAAGUCAUGGUUAAGUGGGAAACGAUGUGGGAAGGCCCAGACAGCCAGGAUGUUGGCUUAGAAGCAGCCAUCAUUUAAAGAAAGCGUAAUAGCUCACUGGUCGAGUCGGCCUGCGCGGAAGAUGUAACGGGGCUAAACCAUGCACCGAAGCUGCGGCAGCGACACUGUGUGUUGUUGGGUA